GCCUGGAGCCUCACCAUGGCCUGGACCCUCCUGCUCCCCCUGCUCACACUCUGCACAGGUCCUGUGGCCUCUUCAGUAGUGACUCAGCCCCCAGCAGUGUCUGUGGCCCCCGGACAGACGGCCAGGAUCACCUGCCAGGGAGAACUCGUAAAAGAAUCUUACGCAAGCUGGUACCAGCAAAAGCCCGGCCAGGCCCCCGUGUUGGUCGUCUAUAGUGACGAAAACAGGACCUCAAAGAUCCCUGAACGAUUCUCUGGCUCUGACUCAGGGGACACCGACACCCUGACCAUCAGCAGGGCCCAGGCCCAGGACUAUUACUGUGCGGUGUUGGACAAUAUUGCUGAAACUCACAGUGAUACAGGCGGAUGGGGAAGUGUGACAGAAACCUCCCUUUGUCACCCUCUCUUCCAGCCCCAAGGACUGCAGACCAAGACACAUCCCAGCCCAUCUGAGCUCAUGAAGCCCCAGGACCUGGCAGCCUGGGUGCUGAACAACCAAACCCGAGCUGUGGGCACAGAGGAGCCCAUCCAGGUCCCUGCUCAGGGGUGA
Non-coding RNA from Myotis davidii, 549 nucleotides. The record is from the annotation of a RefSeq genome assembly. NCBI's taxonomy places the organism in Eukaryota, Metazoa, Chordata, Mammalia, Chiroptera, Vespertilionidae.